This 324-nucleotide unclassified non-coding RNA is filed under the name Hevea brasiliensis (rubber tree). The record is from RNAcentral. Lineage: Eukaryota; Viridiplantae; Streptophyta; Magnoliopsida; Malpighiales; Euphorbiaceae.
AAGAUCAACUCAAAGCCAUACUUACUCUAACUUAUCACAAAAAGGAUCGAGCCCUAGCGAGACUAGCUCCAACCGAUCUGCCCGUCCUACCCAUAUCCAGGACCACACCACACGUACGCCGACGCAUGCACACAGCUCCAAAUUACCAGAUUAACCAGAAGCUAUUGUGGUGGCUGAGUGGAGGAGAAUGGCUGGCUCUAUGCCAAUUCUGAUCCUUCGAAUAUGUCUGGAACGUCUGAAAAUGGUGGCGAGGACUGUAAUAUUGGCCUACUUCCGAGAUAAUUCCGGUAGCCCUCCUAUUUGGUCCGAAACUGCAGAUCCGAG